GAAACUAUAGUCAAUAUAUGAUAUAUAAUUUGCACUUAUAAGUAGUUGUAAAACUAGUUUCG
This 62-nucleotide transfer RNA is filed under the name Potamon fluviatile. RNAcentral describes it as "tRNA-Ala". Lineage: Eukaryota; Metazoa; Arthropoda; Malacostraca; Decapoda; Potamidae. The record is from RNAcentral.